CCUACGGGGGGCAGCAGUGAGGAAUAUUGGUCAAUGGGCGGGAGCCUGAACCAGCCAAGCCGCGUGAGGGAAGAAGGUACAGCGUAUCGUAAACCUCUUUUGUCAGGGAACAAAGGCGGGGACUAGUCCCCGGAUGAGGGUACCUGAAGAAAAAGCAUCGGCUAACUCCGUGCCAGCAGCCGCGGUAAUACGUAUGGUGCAAGCGUUAUCCGGAUUUACUGGGUGUAAAGGGAGCGCAGGCGGCACGGCAAGCCUGAUGUGAAAGCCCGCGGCCCAACCGCGGGACUGCAUUGGGAACUACCGGGCUGGAGUGCCGGAGAGGUAGGCGGAAUUCCUAGUGUAGCGGUGAAAUGCGUAGAUAUUAGGAGGAACACCAGUGGCGAAGGCGGCCUACUGGACGGUGACUGACGCUGAGGCUCGAAAGCGUGGGGAGCAAACAGGAUUAGAUACCCCAGUAGUC
This 460-nucleotide ribosomal RNA is filed under the name uncultured bacterium. Its description in RNAcentral is "partial 16S ribosomal RNA". It matches the Rfam family "Bacterial small subunit ribosomal RNA", at positions 338 to 795 of the family's 1533-position model. The record is from RNAcentral.